AAAAAAGGUAAGCUACUAAGAGCGAAUGGUGGAUGCCUUGACUGGUAAAGGCGAUGAAGGACGUACUAGACUGCGAUAAGCUACGGGGAGCUGUCAAGAAGCUUUGAUCCGUAGAUUUCCGAAUGGGGCAACCCAAUGUAUAGAGAUAUACAUUACCUAUAUAGGAGCGAACGAGGGGAAUUGAAACAUCUUAGUACCCUCAGGAAAAGAAAUCAAUAGAGAUUGCGUCAGUAGCGGCGAGCGAAAGCGCAAGAGGGCAAACCCAGUGCUUGCACUGGGGGUUGUAGGACUGCAAUGUGCAAGAGCUGAGUUUAGCAGAACAUUCUGGAAAGUAUAGCCAUAGAGGGUGAUAGUCCCGUAUGCGAAAAACAAAGCUUAGCUAGCAGUAUCCUGAGUAGGGCGGGACACGAGGAAUCCUGUCUGAAUCCGGGUCGACCACGAUCCAACCCUAAAUACUAAUACCAGAUCGAUAGUGCACAAGUACCGUGAGGGAAAGGUGAAAAGAACUGAGGUGAUCAGAGUGAAAUAGAACCUGAAACCAUUUGCUUACAAUCAUUCAGAGCACUAUGUAGCAAUACAGUGUGAUGGACUGCCUUUUGCAUAAUGAGCCUGCGAGUUGUGGUGUCUGGCAAGGUUAAGCAAACGCGAAGCCGUAGCGAAAGCGAGUCUGAAUAGGGCGCUUAGUCAGAUGCUGCAGACCCGAAACGAAGUGAUCUAUCCAUGAGCAAGUUGAAGCUAGUGUAAGAACUAGUGGAGGACUGAACCCAUAGGCGUUGAAAAGCCCCGGGAUGACUUGUGGAUAGGGGUGAAAGGCCAAUCAAACUUCGUGAUAGCUGGUUCUCUCCGAAAUAUAUUUAGGUAUAGCGUUGUGUCGUAAUAUAAGGGGGUAGAGCACUGAAUGGGCUAGGGCAUACACCAAUGUACCAAACCCUAUCAAACUCCGAAUACCUUAUAUGUAAUCACAGCAGUCAGGCGGCGAGUGAUAAAAUCCGUCGUCAAGAGGGAAACAACCCAGACUACCAGCUAAGGUCCCUAAAUCUUACUUAAGUGGAAAACGAUGUGAAGUUACUUAAACAACCAGGAGGUUGGCUUAGAAGCAGCCAUCCUUUAAAGAAAGCGUAAUAGCUCACUGGUCUAGUGAUUUUGCGCGGAAAAUAUAACGGGGCUAAAGUAAGUACCGAAGCUGUAGACUUGCACACAACUUAGAUUAUUUAAGUUUAGAAUAAGUAGUUUAAGUUGUGUGCAAGUGGUAGGAGAGCGUUCUAUUUGCGUCGAAGGUAUACCGGUAAGGAGUGCUGGAGCGAAUAGAAGUGAGCAUGCAGGCAUGAGUAGCGAUAAUUAAUGUGAGAAUCAUUAACGCCGUAAACCCAAGGUUUCCUACGCGAUGCUCGUCAUCGUAGGGUUAGUCGGGUCCUAAGUCGAGUCCGAAAGGGGUAGACGAUGGCAAAUUGGUUAAUAUUCCAAUACCAACAUUAGUGUGCGAUGGAAGGACGCUUAGGGCUAAGGGGGCUAGCGGAUGGAAGUGCUAGUCUAAGGUCGUAGGAGGUUAUACAGGCAAAUCCGUAUAACAAUACUCCGAGAACUGAAAGGCUUUUUGAAGUCUUCGGAUGGAUAGAAGAACCCCUGAUGCCGUCGAGCCAAGAAAAGUUUCUAAGUUUAGCUAAUGUUGCCCGUACCGUAAACCGACACAGGUGGGUGGGAUGAGUAUUCUAAGGCGCGUGGAAGAACUCUCUUUAAGGAACUCUGCAAAAUAGCACCGUAUCUUCGGUAUAAGGUG
RNAcentral lists this ribosomal RNA (1777 nucleotides) under Campylobacter jejuni. RNAcentral describes it as "partial 23S ribosomal RNA". It matches the Rfam family "Bacterial large subunit ribosomal RNA", at positions 1 to 1748 of the family's 2925-position model. Lineage: Bacteria; Pseudomonadati; Campylobacterota; Epsilonproteobacteria; Campylobacterales; Campylobacteraceae. The record is from RNAcentral.